GGAGAGGUGGCAGAGCGGUUGAAUGCGCCGGAUUCGAAAUCCGGUUUGGCUCUUUGAGUCAACGGGGGUUCGAAUCCCCCCCUCUCCG
This 88-nucleotide transfer RNA is filed under the name Phycisphaerales bacterium. Its description in RNAcentral is "tRNA-Ser". It matches the Rfam family "tRNA". From Rfam's summary of the family: Transfer RNA (tRNA) molecules are approximately 80 nucleotides in length. Their secondary structure includes four short double-helical elements and three loops (D, anti-codon, and T loops). The record is from RNAcentral. Lineage: Bacteria; Pseudomonadati; Planctomycetota; Phycisphaerae; Phycisphaerales.